Leptopilina boulardi is the source of this 675-nucleotide long non-coding RNA. RefSeq lists it as uncharacterized. Lineage: Eukaryota; Metazoa; Arthropoda; Insecta; Hymenoptera; Figitidae. The transcript is spliced from 4 exons. The record is from RefSeq and is a predicted model, not a curated record.
AACCGCUUUCCACAUUGCGCACACCUUUUCAAGAAGUGUCUGGAACUGAUGAGAACCGAGUACUGAUAGCUUAGCUAUCAAAACAACCAAGAAGACUACCGUAGCUAUAGCUUUCGAAUAUACCCCUUCCUUCACUACAAGACUUCUUCGAAAAGUUUCACUGAAGCCCAAAUAUCUUCGGCCAAAAGUUGUGGUUCUUCCAUCGCUGCAAAAUGUCCACCUUUGGGGAAUUUUGUGGCUCGAAGUAAAUUUUUAUAACGUUCUUUAAGUAAACAUUCAGGCUGAUAUGAAAUUUCAUAACGAAAUUGAGCACAGGCACUUGGUACAUUUAUGGGCGCUCUAUAAUGCAUAAAUUCUCACGGCUGUUGUCAUUGUGUUUGGUAUCCAAUAAUACAUUAAAUUGUCAAUGAGUUCAUCAGGAGUAUGUUUCUCAAAAAGACCACCAUCGUCUUUCAUUCUAUAAUCGGGAUUUGUGGCAGUUGAGAAUUUUUCAAGAAUAUAUGCCGCCAAACCAAUUGGAGAAUCACUUGUCAGGUUUCGUGGCUUGAAUGUGAAAAUAUCCUGAUUCUUCAAGUUUACUGGCCCAGUGUUUACCAAGUGGAUACAUUAAAUGAUGAUCUUCUUCGGGAAGCAAAAGAGAUGGAAAGAAACUAAAGAAAUAAGUUUUCAAAAAAC